UCCCCUGUGGCGCAAUUGAUUAGAGCGCGGUACUUAUAAUGCCGAGGCCGGGAGUUCGAUCCUCACCUGGGGAA
RNAcentral lists this transfer RNA (74 nucleotides) under Caerostris darwini. RNAcentral's name for it is "tRNA-Ile". It matches the Rfam family "tRNA". From Rfam's summary of the family: Transfer RNA (tRNA) molecules are approximately 80 nucleotides in length. The record is from RNAcentral. Lineage: Eukaryota; Metazoa; Arthropoda; Arachnida; Araneae; Araneidae.